Pygocentrus nattereri (red-bellied piranha) is the source of this 4846-nucleotide long non-coding RNA. RefSeq lists it as uncharacterized. Lineage: Eukaryota; Metazoa; Chordata; Actinopteri; Characiformes; Serrasalmidae. The transcript has 2 exons. The record is from RefSeq and is a predicted model, not a curated record.
CCCGAAAUGGACCAAUGCGCGUGUUGGAUAAACCGAGCGCGUGAUGUGGCUCUGACCCACGUAGCAUGUUGCAACCUUUUAUUACUCGCGCCUGCAGUUUUCUGCAAGCAGUUGGUGCAAGUUUAGUUGGUUUAACUGUGAACUUAAAACUUAGAAUAAAAGGGACAUAAACACCUUAUAAACGUCAGUGUGUCCUGAAUUGUGUUCUAUGUUUAUUUGCGAGAUCCCAAGGCUGGAAUGAGUGGAAUAAUCCCAGUUCAUUGUUCUUGGGACAGUCCAUGUUUUCUCCCAGCAGAAUGUGCCUGGGGCAGUCCCUUUCCCCUUUAAGCUCAGUAUUUUUAGGACAGUUCCAGUUCUCUUUAAGUUCACUGUCCUUGGGCAGUCCCUGUCCUUUCUAAGUUUAACAUUCUUGGGCCAGUCCCUGUUCUCUUUUGGAAAACUUCGCCCUGCAUUUGCCAAUGCAAACAGUAAAUUUAACCAGUCAAGUUAAAUACGGUUCACAGGGAAUGGCUUUUAGAAUUCAUGCGGGCAGUGAGAGCAGUCUCCGGGCCUGCUCGUCUGCAGCCUUUCAGACUUGAGCUCUCAAAUGUACACAGUCAGAUCAAAUCAAAUGAAUGCUGUCUUACAGAAUUCACAGGAGCCCUGUUGUAGCUACAAUUUAUUGUAUUGCGUCUUAUUAAAACUUGUAACUUAAUUUUUCGGUUACUAUUCUACACCACUGGAAACGCCAGCAACCUUUAGUAUGUGAACAGUUCAUAAUGAUUGGACCCAUAACUUUAAAUCCCAUUGCAUUAAAGUAUUUUAAAGCUGAAGUUUCCUUCUGUAUCUCCUUCUAUUUUUAAAAUAUGCAGACGACAGAGCAUUAGUGAGGUUUUUAAAGUCAAAUAAUGAUAAUUUUUUUCACAGACAAUAUAUUUUAUUCAGUGUAUAGAUAAUUAUCUUCAACCAAUGUAAAGAAAAACAAAAACAAAACCAGGCUACAAAUGUCCACUGUCUCAUGCAUGGUUCUGUCUUCUGGACCAGUGCAGACUGUUGAGCUCACAUUACAUUACUAAUGUAACAAAAGUCAUUUUUCAUCUCACCACUGACACUAUAGGGAUCAGCACACAAGUAUGUAUCACUCCCCCCGGGGAACCGAAUCAUGGAUUUGGAGAAUCAUGAAUCAUUACGCUUCUAGCAAUUGAUUUUAAGCCCACUUGCACAGUCACUGCUGACUUUGAAGUUUAAAACAUUAGAGAGGGUCCCAACAUAUAAAUAUCUUGGAAUGGAGGUAGAUACAUUUGCAGGCUCUGUGGCAUCCAACGUAAAACAUUUGCAGCAGAGAGCGGUUAAUUAUCAAUUUAUAUGUUUUUAUAUAUAUAUAAACUGCACUCAAGAGUGUCCUGACUUUUGGUCUGAUGUGUGUGUUUCAAAACAUGUGUCUGAGACCAAAAGAAACUCCAGAGCUUAAUCAAGACAGUGAGUAGGAUUAAAGGAAUUGAGCAGUUGCCACUUUCUCAGCUCUACACUGACCUUCUCUUAAAUAAGCUUUAGUGUGUUAUCAAAGACCUCACCACCCUUUACAUCAGACACUUAAAAUAAGGAAAAGUACUAGAAUGGUACAGAGCAGAGUUUAAAUCUUGUUCCUUCUGCUAUAAAUACAUUCAAGAGUCAACCAGAAUGUGUUUUUGUGGUCAGAAUGUUUCCAUUGUGGUUUUAAUGUUUACAUUGGGUGUGGGGGGUACUUGGUUUAGUAGUUUUAUACUUUGUUUUAGUACUGAUGUGUGGAUAUGUGAAUAUGUGUCUGUAUUAUUGACCAACUGAAUUUCCUACAUUGAUUAUAAAGUUAACCUGAAUAUAAAGUUGCCAUUUCUGACAUACAAGGUUUUGUAAAGGCUGUAUGUUGUACAUACUUGUUUCCCACCUGAUACUGGCUUUACCGUCACUGUAUUUUAAUGGCCUAUAGAUCUUUACUUCUCAUGCAGGCUCCUGUUUGAUACCAUUGUAUAGGAAGGGAUCAGCACACAAUCUACUGGAACUGGACUGGUUGUUGUUGCUCAUGUUGAAAUGUAUUUAAAAAUUGAUCAAAAGAAGGUUGAAUUUGGAAAAACAGCCGAUGCACUGGCUAACAAUUAACCAAAAAAGCUGGCAGGCCAAGCUGUUUAUUUGGUCAAAGUUACAAUGUUCAUUGUACAUUGCCUGGCCCGCAUCAGACUUCUUCAAAAAAUGAGAAUGCGAGCCGCCAGUUCCCAACGACGCUCACGUUCUGUGUUUGCCUUGGAAACAGUUGCCUAUUGUCUUUCAUCGGGGGCAUGUAGCCUCAGUGAGUAAGCUGAUAGUCUCCAUGUCCCUGAGAAAUUGCUGGAGCGGCCCAGCCCUGGGAAAACACCGCAGGUCUGCGCCAUCCAAAAGGUUAAUUAUCUGGAACUUUCCCCGACCGAGGCUGAAGUGGAGCAGCCUGCUGACAGAGAAGAGCUGCAGAGGGAUGGGAUCAGCACGGGGGUCACACUGCGCUGACCUCUCGUUAACUGUAUGAGAUAAAGAGGCACAAGCAGGCUCCCCAAAAGGUUGACGGUGGACAAUGAGAGGUCCUGGCAGCUGAGAGAUGCUUUUAAGUGAUUUGAAUUGGCAGCUUGUUGGGCCCGAGCUGAAAGAAGUGAGCAGCUUUAAAUUCAAACUUCAUGCUAGUUGAGAUCUGAAGUCAUGAAUGAUUCAUUUUUACUAUGGUUUAUUGCUGAGGGAAACAGUAUCAGGGAGGGUCUCUGAGCUAGCUGAACUAUCAGUGAUGGGUAGGGGUGGUGGAACAUGACAUUGUUGGUUAAUACAGGGUGUCCCAAAAAAAUUGACAUCAUUUUAUAGUCUAGUAACACAGCCACUCCCUCAAAUGAUCUCAAAUUUUAACAAAACGUGUAAAAACUAACCAAGUCUAAUUUUCAAUGUUUUUUGUUGAAGAAUGGCGUUCACUAGAAAUGAAAAGGCAUGUGUGUUAAUCUGCUCAAAUACAGUCAAAUAAGAAUGUGCAGCAUACAUUUUUGAGAAAAUUCAAUAAAAAAAAGAAUCACUACGGCACUGGAGACUGUUACGCAAGACAUGCUACAGUGUAUUUGGCAGGAGCUGGACUACCGACUUGUGUCAUGUCACAGGCGGUACGCGUAUUGUGAAGCUUUGUGAAAUCAGUUAUAAAAUCUACAUCCCUCUGAAUUUGUGUGAAUUUUGAUAAAUAAAUCUUUUAUUGUCCAACAUGAAGCCUGUUUCAUUUCAUUUGCCCAGAACAUAUAGUUGCUCAGAUAUUCACAUCUCAAAUGACAUCAAUUUUCUGGGACACCCUGUAUUAUUUUUCUUAUUAUUUUUCAGAUUAUUUUUUAUUUUUUGUCAUCCGAACUCAGAAGACAUUUUAGAGGUGAGGAAAAGUCAUCCAACAUUUUAUCCUUUAAAUGUAUAAUGUACUGUGCUUAAUAUGAACCAGCAAGGUAAAAAAAAAAAUCUCUUACUAAAUUCUAGAUGGGCUCAUUGACUGUAAGGUGCUUUAUACCUUUGCAUCCAAAUUUCUCCUUAUUCAGCAGCCAACAGUGGAUAUUUUAGGUUUCAAAACAUUAAGUUGCUGCUAGGUUGAGGUUUUACAUGCACUUAACAUACACUCACUAGAUGUUUUAGGUAAAAUGCUACAUUGUAGUGCAUUGAAAUCCUUGCGUUGUGCUUGUGUGUUUUAUGUUUUAGUGUGUUCCACAGAUGAAUAACCAUAAUCUUUCAGAUGCCAGUCACAGUCACAAGUGUGACUGAAACCAGAAGCGUAACUAUUAAAUCUGAUAUUGAAUGAGCUGUUGUUCAUCAGCCUGAUACAAACCAUGUCAUAUCUUGCUAACCUUGUGCAUCAGUAUGUUCUAUUUCUAACACCCUGUAUUUAUGCAUUAUCAAGUGAACUGUUUCUGUAGCUCAUUGGUCCCAUCAACAAUGGUUGGAGAAACGGUGUAAUGACUAAAACAGGGACCAAAACAAAGUGAACAUGAAUAAUAUUUUGAAAUCAGAUUUUAUUUGUAAGACUGAGACAUUAUUGAGCAACUACAUGAGUUCUGCUGAUAUAGGCACAUCCUUUCCACAAAUAGGACAUGCUUUUUUUGGUCCUGCACAUUCACAGAACUUUAAUUCUUGUUUCUCUUGAACUUGUUUUCCUUCACUAAUGGCUGCACUGGUUUGGAAGCAAACAGCCAUUCACCAGUUUCGUAACGCAGAUCAGAAUGGCCACAAAUGAGCCGGAAUUCUGACCAACAGAGUGAUUGUGGGUCCAGAAGAAUUUACAGCUGCCCACCAAGGAGGGGAUUACCCUGGGCCUGUAGAGGAGACAGACAAGACUGAAGCAUCCAGUCCAGCCACAGCCCUCAGAGCACAUGGCCUCUGCCAAAUUAGAACAUACUUAGAAGAGGAGAGAGGAGCUGUUUUUAAAAGCUAAAUGGGAAAAUGCAGUAUCCUGAUGCAAUAUAUAAAGAUCUAAUGGGUAAACAGAACGUCUGGCCAAAGUCACUAAAGCAACCUUGGCAACCAGCUGCCCAGUCCAUAUUUCUAUUCUACUCCAGGUUCCAGUGCGCUUAAAUCAAGUUAGGAUGGAAUGAUGAGCUUUGAUUAACAGACCCUCAGCUAUUUUGUGAUUGGAACUGCUUUUAAAGGACACAAUCGUAUAGCAGCAACAGAUGACACACAUUGGCUGUAGCUGUCUAAUGUAUUUGGUUAAACAUGAUCAAAGCCAUUGUUAAAUACCCAAUAUGCAGCAUAUGGCAGCAUACAUCAACUGAAUAUUGUAUUAACUCUGUGUCAGGAGUUAUUAAAAACCUUGUACUGUUUAUGAAAUAAAACUUGAUAAUUGUAUCGGAAA